CUGACAUUGAGAAUGGAUGAAAGGUGGAAGCUGCCUGCAGUGAUAGCAUGACUGCUUUUCACAUGAUGCUUUUCUGGGGACUUGCAGCCUUUCAUGGAAGGUGGGGAUGGCCCCUUCCAGCCGCUCUUCACGGUGUGCUGUGUCUCAGGUUUUCUUUUUGUUCAUCUGAGACACAGAACAUCUCUUGAUGAAGGUCACAGCUUUGAUCCCCGUGGCUCGCUCUUGUGUUUAUAGCCAUUAUUAGUAACAUCAGCUCAUGCACGCACUUCUCCCUGCCUGCCCUUGUCUGGCUGCAAGGGAGCAGGGGCAGGAUAACAAAAGAAAGUAUAAAUAGUCUUUUUAAAAGCCUGUUAAAUAGAAAUAGACUUUUUAGGGAGGAGUUAGAAAGAAUGAGGCAUGUUACCAUAGUAACUGCCAAUGGUUUAUUUAAGAAGGGCAAAGAAACAAACACCACAAAAAGGCGAAGUCGAGAGGAAUAGAAGAUUGCUGGAGGAAUCUGUCGGGACACAGACAACACAGGGCCAGUGAUUGUUGCCAUGUUCACCUACCACCCGCGCUGCGUUCACAUCCCUGAUGUCCAUGCCACCCAAUAGGGCCUACUGCUGUGAUGCUCUGCGAUGGAUGAGCACCUGGGAAAGAGCUGUUGUCUGAAUCCCUUCCUUCUGCCAGGGCUGAGCUCCAGGAAACUUGGUCUGAACUCCCAAAUGGACAAACAUCUUCCUCACCAAAGACACACUGAACAGCUGUUGAAUGAACACAAAUAUUACUUGAUUGCUUGAAAUUAAAGUAAGAGGCACAGAAUGGGUAUCACCACAGAAAGAAAGGUAACUACAGCUUGAACUCACAGAGAACUCAUGCCACAGUCCCGCUCAGGUCUCCUGGAUCCCUGUUCUCAUGGUACCGGUUAGUCUUUAUCUCAAAAUUCCAUUUGUUUCACUUUCUUUAAAAAUAAACCAAUGCAUCUGCAUUUUGAUUUGAAAUUA
RNAcentral lists this long non-coding RNA (983 nucleotides) under Numida meleagris (helmeted guineafowl). Its description in RNAcentral is "lncRNA (ENSNMEG00000010042.1)". The record is from RNAcentral. Lineage: Eukaryota; Metazoa; Chordata; Aves; Galliformes; Numididae.